This 237-nucleotide ribosomal RNA is filed under the name uncultured bacterium. Its description in RNAcentral is "partial 16S ribosomal RNA". It matches the Rfam family "Bacterial small subunit ribosomal RNA", at positions 122 to 353 of the family's 1533-position model. The record is from RNAcentral.
UAACCUGCCUUAUAGUGGGGGAUAGCCUUUCGAAAGGAAGAUUAAUACCGCAUAAGAUUGUAGUAUCGCAUGAUAUAGCAAUUAAAAGGAGGCAAUUCGCUAUAAGAUGGACCCGCGUCGCAUUAGCUAGUUGGUGAGGUAAUGGCUCACCAAGGCGACGAUGCGUAGCCGACCUGAGAGGGUGAUCGGCCACAUUGGGACUGAGACACGGCCCAGACUCCUACGGGAGGCAGCAUG